UACGAAGGGGGCUAGCGUUGCUCGGAAUCACUGGGCGUAAAGCGCACGUCGGCGGAUUGUUAAGUCCGGGGUGAAAUCCUGGAGCUCAACUCCAGAACUGCCUUUGAUACUGGCGAUCUCGAGUCCGGGAGAGGUGAGUGGAACUGCGAGUGUAGAGGUGAAAUUCGUAGAUAUUCGCAAGAACACCAGUGGCGAAGGCGGCUCACUGGCCCGGUACUGACGCUGAGGUGCGAAAGCGUGGGGAGCAAACAGG
Molecule: ribosomal RNA, 253 nt
Filed under: uncultured bacterium
Lineage: Bacteria
Description: partial 16S ribosomal RNA
Rfam family: Bacterial small subunit ribosomal RNA
Source: RNAcentral